Non-coding RNA from Carica papaya (papaya), 891 nucleotides. NCBI's taxonomy places the organism in Eukaryota, Viridiplantae, Streptophyta, Magnoliopsida, Brassicales, Caricaceae. The record is from RefSeq and is a predicted model, not a curated record.
UUAUUUGUUUUCCGCCUCCACGGGACGACAAAAGAAAGGGCGGACACGGAGCUGCCGAAGAAGUGAAAAUAGGAAGCACGUCCAACAACGCGAGAGGAGAAAGAGAUGAUCAGCGCGUGAAGAAUCAAUCGAAUAAAGAGGUGAAAAUAUAGUGGUGUGAAUUACGGAUCACAAGAGACUCAUUCGUACUUUACUAUCUUCUCAAACUUUGCUUCCUUGCUGAGGGAAGCCCUUUGGUGCGUAAACGGAAGCGGACGAUCAGGAUCAGUCCCAGAACUAUCCCGUUCUUUUGUUAUGGAGAAAAUUUGAGAUUCUUAUUACUUUCGCCUUGUCACAAUGGAAGCCCGGGAAAUAACUGAAGGAACGGUUUCUAACGAUGCUCGUAAAUUGGCUGGAACUGUCAAUUGGGGAACAGCAACUGUCAUAGGAGUGUUUGCAGGCAUGUUAUAUGGAGGCAGCAAGGAAGCAUCAGCUUCGGUUGUAAGUUUGGAUUUAGUUGAAGAGCUUAAAUUGCAUAUCAAGUCUUUCAUCUCAAUUUUGUUUUAACAAUAUUGUUAGCGACCUAGGGAAGUGAAAAUUCGAGGGAAAGCUUGUCAAAGAUAUGCAUCUAGGGAUAUAGAUCUUAAAUCUAUUCUCCACAUUCCAAAACUUGUAACCUCUUGUCUGUUAGUAAACUCUUUAAAGAUUCUAAUAGUGUUAUUUUUUAUGACCCUCCUUGUGCUUUUAGGACCAGUAUUUGGGAAUGAUGAUUGUCACAGCUAGAGAAAUAGGCGGAUUAUAUUAUUUUGAUGAGAUUUCCUUCAAGAAUAGAAAGACUCAAGCCUUAAGCAGUAUGAGUUCAAUUCUAGUUUAGAAUAAAUAAUGCAAUGUCAUCUUAGACUAGGACAUCCU